RNAcentral lists this ribosomal RNA (420 nucleotides) under bacterium. RNAcentral's name for it is "partial 16S ribosomal RNA". It matches the Rfam family "Bacterial small subunit ribosomal RNA", at positions 355 to 776 of the family's 1533-position model. The record is from RNAcentral.
UGGGGGAUAUUGCACAAUGGGCGAAAGCCUGAUGCAGCGACGCCGCAUGGGGGAUGAAGGCUUUCGGGUUGUAAACCUCUUUCGCUAUCGAACAAGGCCCGCUUAGGGUGGGUUGAGGGUAGGUGGAGAAGAAGCGCCGGCUAACUACGUGCCAGCAGCCGCGGUAAUACGUAGGGCGCGAGCGUUGUCCGGAAUUAUUGGGCGUAAAGGGCUUGUAGGCGGCUUGUUGCGCCUGCUGUGAAAACGCGGGGCUUAACUUCGCGCGUGCAGUGGGUACGGGCAGGCUUGAGUGUGGUAGGGGUGACUGGAAUUCCAGGUGUAGCGGUGGAAUGCGCAGAUAUCUGGAGGAACACCGAUGGCGAAGGCAGGUCACUGGGCCAUUACUGACGCUGAGGAGCGAAAGCAUGGGUAGCGAACAGG